AUCUGUUUCAUGUCUAGACGCUACUCUUGUCUUCUAUUAUUCCAUGUUCAUUAUAUUAUUAAACUCACCACCUGCUUCUCGACUCCCUCUACAUUACAGAAUACUGCCUCGACAAAUGGAAGCAGCAGGAACACAGGAUAUCUCCCAGACGGUCGACGGACAGGGAUACCUACUUCGUCAGCACCACGAUCAGCUGGCGCAGCUGGGGAUGGCUAUGGAAGAGGUUCUUCGCAGUCUUCAACGUCUCGAACUGCCUUCCACUAGCGGAGGAUACUCUACCACCAGCGGGCCAGCACACCAGUCCAUUCAGCAGUCCGCCCAGGCCGGUGGUUCCUGGUCCCCUGGCUGAGGCUGUCCCCCACGACACCCAUCCGCCUCCCCUAGAUGUCCAUGGUGGUCCCGCCUAUGCUGUCAGAUCCCUACUGGACUCCUGACGUCAUGGGGGUCAGCUCCAGUACCUGGUGGACUGGGAGGGGUACGAUCCAGAGGAGCGGUGUUGGGUUCUGGUGGAGGACAUUCUGGAUCCAUCCGGGAUUUCCACCUUCACCGUCCGGAACGGCCCGCUCCUCGCCCUCGAGGCCGUCCCCUUGGCUGGUGUCGUCCUGCCGCUAGAGCCGCGUGUCGGGGAUACUGUCACGUCUACUCCCUCUCCAGCACUCAACGUUUCCGGUUUACUAAUCACUGGCUCUGACUACCAUCAUUACGCACACCUGGCACCUUUGUUACGCACACCUGCGCCUCAUCAUGAGACACACCUGGACUUCAUCACUUUACUGAUUACCUCCGCUAUAUCUGUCAUUCCCUUAGUUCCAUUCCCCAGGCAGUAUUUACUAUGUUUUUUUAUUUCUAGACGCUACUCUUGUCUUGUAUUGUUCAUUAUAUUUUUCAACUCACCAACUGCUUCUCGACUCCCAGCGUCUACGUUACACAUCCCUCCUUCCACAAAUGCAUAAUAAGCCUACAGUUUUUCCAGGUGCGGGACUUUCUUCAACGGUUUCAAUCAUGCUUCAAAUAUAUAUAGCGCUCUUUUUUCAU
This 1035-nucleotide long non-coding RNA is filed under the name Salmo salar (Atlantic salmon). Its description in RNAcentral is "lncRNA (ENSSSAG00000093596.1, ENSSSAG00075027746.1)". The record is from RNAcentral. Lineage: Eukaryota; Metazoa; Chordata; Actinopteri; Salmoniformes; Salmonidae.